Molecule: long non-coding RNA, 374 nt
Organism: Thalassophryne amazonica
Lineage: Eukaryota; Metazoa; Chordata; Actinopteri; Batrachoidiformes; Batrachoididae
Exons: 3
Source: RefSeq, a predicted model, not a curated record
AACUCCACCAGAGCUAUUAUCUUGAUGCACUGGUCUCCCACAUUGUCCCACACAAACCUAGUCUUUGUCCCACAUCUGGUAAGUUGGGAUCUGCUGACCCUAAGCACAACAGUGAUGCUCCAUCAGAUGUGUGUGCAGGCAGAAAGUUGAUGCACACGUUCAGUGACUCUCCAUCAGAUGUGUGUGCAGGCAGAAAGUUGAUGCACACGUUCAGUGAUGCUCCACCAGAUGUGUGUGCAGGCAGAAAGUUGAUGCACACGUUCAGUGAUGCUCCAUCAGAUGUGUGUGCAGGCAGAAAGUUGAUGCACACGUUCAGUGAUGCUCCAUCAGAUGUGUGUGCAGGCAGAAAGUUGAUGCACACAUUCAGUGAUGUU